AUAUAUACAGUGAAACUGCGAAUGGCUCAUUAAAUCAGUUAUCGUUUAUUUGAUGAUACUUUACUACUUGGAUAACCGUGGUAAUUCUAGAGCUAAUACAUGCAUAAAAGUCCCGACCCCUGGAAGGGAUGUAUUUAUUAGAUAAAAAACCAAUGCCUUCGGGCUCUUUGGUGAUUCAUAGUAACUUAACGAAUCGCAUAGCCUUGUGCUGGCGAUGGUUCAUUCAAAUUUCUGCCCUAUCAACUUUCGAUGGUAGGAUAUAGGCCUACCAUGGUUUCAACGGGUAACGGGGAAUUAGGGUUCUAUUCCGGAGAGGGAGCCUGAGAAACGGCUACCACAUCCAAGGAAGGCAGCAGGCGCGCAAAUUACCCAAUCCCGACACGGGGAGGUAGUGACAAUAAAUACUGAUACAGGUGGUUUUAUGCCUCUUGUAAUUGGAAUGAGUACAAUUUAAAUCUCUUAACGAGGAACAAUUGGAGGGCAAGUCUGGUGCCAGCAGCCGCGGUAAUUCCAGCUCCAAUAGCGUAUAUUAAAGUUGUUGCAGUUAAAAAGCUCGUAGUUGAACCUUGGAUCUGGCCAACUGGUCUGCCUCACCGCAUGCACUGGUUUGGUCGGGUCUUUCCUUCUGGCAAACUGCAUGCCCUUCACUGGGUGUGUUGGGGAACCAGGACUUUUACUUUGAAAAAAUUAGAGUGUUCAAAGCAGGCAUUGGCUCGAAUACAUUAGCAUGGAAUAAUAGAAUAGGACGUGUGGUUCUAUUUUGUUGGUUUCUAGGACCACCGUAAUGAUUAAUAGGGAUAGUCGGGGGCAUCAGUAUUCAAUCGUCAGAGGUGAAAUUCUUGGAUCGAUUGAAGACUAACUACUGCGAAAGCAUUUGCCAAGGAUGUUUUCAUUAAUCAGGGAACGAAAGUUAGGGGAUCGAAGACGAUCAGAUACCGUCGUAGUCUUAACCAUAAACUAUGCCGACUAGGGAUUGGGCGAUGUUCUUUUUUGACUCGCUCAGCACCUUACGAGAAAUCAAAGUCUUUGG
This 1030-nucleotide ribosomal RNA is filed under the name Terfezia claveryi. RNAcentral's name for it is "SSU rRNA". It matches the Rfam family "Eukaryotic small subunit ribosomal RNA", at positions 72 to 1110 of the family's 1831-position model. The record is from RNAcentral. Lineage: Eukaryota; Fungi; Ascomycota; Pezizomycetes; Pezizales; Pezizaceae.